Molecule: long non-coding RNA, 1963 nt
Organism: Gallus gallus (chicken)
Lineage: Eukaryota; Metazoa; Chordata; Aves; Galliformes; Phasianidae
Source: Ensembl
CCCACAGCUAUUCUUAGCCCUGACCUUUGCUAUGGGCCAAACCCGGCCCCACAACUUCCAAUAGGGGACCCGAAAAGGGGUCUGUCUGGGACCUAUAGGUUUCCCUUUUUUGGGGGGGGUCCCCUAUAGGGGAUACGUGGAUUUGGAUCAAGUAGGGCCCCUUGUAGGAAUCGAGGGGCCCUAUAGGGGUCCUGUUAGGGAUUGAAGGCCUCUAUGGGGCCUCUAUGGGGUUCCUAUAGGAGAAUUAAGGUCACUGGAGGGUCCCUAUAGGGUCCCUAUAGCGGAAUGGAGCCCGGAGGGGGCACCUAUAGGGUUCCUAUGAGGGAAUUGAGGCCACUGAGGAUCCCUAUAGGAUUCCUGUUUAGGAUUGAGAGCUCCUAUGGGGUUUCUAUGGAGUCCCUAUAGGAGAACAACGGCGGCUGGGUGUCCCCAUGGGGUUUCUAUAGGGCUUCUCGGGGUCUGAUGGCCCCUAUGGGGUCCCUAUAGGGGAUUGAAGGCCACUGGGGGUCCUUAUGGGGGUCCUAUAGAGUCCCUAUAGGAGAAUGGGGGUCAAUAAGGGCCCCUGUGGGGUUUCUAUAGGGCUUCUUGGGGUCUGAUGGCCCCUAUGGGGUCCCUAUAGGGGACUGAAGGCCACUGGGGGUCCUUAUGGGGGUCCUAUAGAGUUCCUAUAGGAGAAGGGGGGUCAAUAAGGGCCCCUAUGGGGUUUCUAUAGGGUCACUAUAAGGGAAUAAAGGCCACUUCGGGUCCUUAUGGGGUUUCUAUAGGGCCCCUAUAGGGGAAUGAAGGCCACUGGGGGUCUCUAUGGGGUUCCUAUGAGAGAAUGGGGGUCAGUGAGGGCCCCUAUGGGGUUUCUAUAGGGCCCCUAUAGGGGAAUGAAGGCCCCUAGGAGUCCUUAUGGGGUUCCUAUGGGAGAAUGGGGGUCAGUGAGGGCCCCUAUGGGGUUUCUAUAGGGUCACUAUAAUGGAAUAAAGGCCACUGGGGGUCCCCAUGGGGUUCCCAUAGGAGAAUGGGGGUCAGUGAGGGCCCCUAUGAGGUUUCUAUAGGGUCACUAUAAGGGAAUGAAGGCCACUGGGGGUCCCCAUGGAGUUCCUAUAGGAGAAUGGGGGUCAGUGAGGGCCCCUAUGGGGUUUCUAUAGGGUCACUAUAAGGGAAUAAAGGCCACUGGGGGUCCCUAUGGGGUUCCCAUAGGAGAAUGGGGGUCAGUGAGGGCCCCUAUGGGGUUUCUAUAGGGCCCCUAUAAGGGAAUAAAGGCCACUGGGGGCCCUUAUGGGGUUCCUAUGGGAGAAUGGGGGUCUGUGAAGGCCCCUAUGGGGUUUCUAUAGGGCCCCUAUAGGGGAAUGAAGGCCCCUAGGAGUCCUUAUGGGGUUCCUAUGGGAGAAUGGGGGUCAGUGAGGGCCCCUAUGGGGUUUCUAUAGGGUCACUAUAAGGGAAUAAAGGCCACUUUGGGAGUCCUUAUGGGGUUCCUAUGGGAGAAUGGGGGUCUGUGAAGGCCCCUAUGGGGUUUCUAUAGGGCCCCUAUAGGGGAAUAAAGGCCACUGGGGGUCUCUAUGGGGUUCCCAGAGGGGAAUGGGUGUCAGUGAGGGCCCCUAUGGGGUUUCUAUAGGGUCACUAUAAGGGAAUAAAGGCCACUGGGGGUCCUUAUAGGGUUCCCAUAGGGGAAUGGGGGUGAGUGAGCACCCCUGUGAGGAUCCUAUAGGGUCCUCAUAAGCGAAAAGAACCCGGUGGGGAUUCCUAUAGGGUCCCUGUUAAUGGCUGAGGGCCUUUAUGGGGUUCCUAUGAGGUCCCUCACCCGUCCAUAGGCGCCGCCGCCGCCCCUAUAGUGCUCCCAGCGAGGGACCCCCCCAAACCCGCCCCCCCAUUAGUUCCUUCCGCCUUUUGCCCCGCCCCUUCCGGCGCCGAGCCAAUCAGCGCGCCCCGGCGGGAGGAGUGGGCGGGGACACGAAGCUAUAAAGGGAAGGGAGCG